CUGCUGAGUGAUCUCUGUUCUCUCAGGAGGACAAAAAUAUGACACAAAUCCAGGAAUAUGACACUUUUUUAUUAUAUAUUAUUUAUUUUUCGAUAACUUUUGUUUAUGUAAAACCAUUUACAUGAAAAUUAAAGAAAAGACAUGGAAUCUUAGCAUUUUGUUUUAUUAAAAAAUCGAUUGUUCCCACAGUAAAGGGAUAUGACAACGUUUCCCCUUAUGGGUACUCUAAUCAGCCGAGCAAACCCAUUCAGAUUAUUUCAUUGCUAGGUUCAAAUGAAGGCACCUACAGUUAUUUAUGUUAUUGCCAUGACUAGGUAUCUCAAAUGCUGACCUUUUAAACAAUACUGUAUUUCGAACUUUCCCAGUUACUUAAUGGGUUUUCAUCAUCUGUGAUGGAACGUGAAAACCUAUGGUUUACAUGAAAGCACUCGCGUGGAGAUCGAAGAGCAGACGCCCCCUGUGGAAUCUUAGCGAUCUUUCUUAUCAAAGACCGGGCUGGCCACCCAGCCAGCCACGGGAUACGGCGUGCUCGACCCUUGUGGGUUCCCUCAUCCACCCAGCAAGCCCUUUGGAGCCUACGGCUGAGCCGGCUCCAGCCGCGCGCAGCGUCCGUCAUUUCGGAAAGAAAGCGACGUGGCUCUACGUUUCAAAUGCUGAACUUCCCACGUGGGUGGCAGUGGCCAGCCUCCCGGGUCCUCGAUCGUGCUGUACGCGAUCGCGGGGGCGUUCGCCGGCGGAGUGGGGAAGUGCUGGUCUGUCCACGUGCGGUGGCCCGCCUACGCGGGCGGGACCACCAGAAGUCACUCCCGAGGAAGACGCGGCCAGGAUCUGGAUUUCGCGCGGGCGAGUUCACUCUUGUCCCUGGAGACCUGACGAGAAGGAAGGCCGUGCCGGAGGUCAUUCUUCCAUCCCGUCCCCUCGGGCCUGCUGCGGGCAUUCCGGUAUCGGUGAGCCGCGUGUUCUGAAGUGUGACUCAGUUUCCUCGGGGCACCAUGAGCGCCUAGUGACAGGGAGAGCCCGGCGAUGCCGGCCGGCCGCGAGGCUGGCGCCUGCCUGUGGUGCCGCUCUCCAUGCUGGAGCGCCGUGGGUGGGCUCUCCCCGGGGUGACGGAAAGCUGAGUUGAGCGGUGUGUGCCCCCUGUCUGGGGCUCAGGGCCCCCUGGCGAAAAUGUGCCUGGUUCGAAGGUGACUUAACAAGGCGCAGUGGAUGUCCUUGGAGCGUGAACAUACUGGGUGAGGGCGCCACGUCUUUGGGCUGAGGUCCAGCAACGGGACCAUGCCUGGCACACACACCGGAGGCCGUUGAGUGGGCCCGGUGGCAGUAACGCCAGGGACUAGGCUUGGGGGUACGUUAUCUGAAAGCUACAUGGUUGCAUCGACCAGGGGGGAGUGACUGGUGCAUGCGUGUUCUCUGAAUGUCAACGUGUGGGGUACAGUGGAAGCUCUCUGAGCGUUUGGGUGGCAGGAGUGCCUACGAUCCCCGUGUCCCUUGCGGUUUGGGCGUCACCGAACGCCACGGCGGGGCCUCCGUGGUGAACAGGGCCAGCACGUCUUUGUCCCGUGCACGGGAUGGUUGACGGGGAAGGAGGAUCCCGGUAGCGCCCUGGGGUAGUG
This is a long non-coding RNA of Microcebus murinus (gray mouse lemur), 1613 nucleotides long. NCBI's taxonomy places the organism in Eukaryota, Metazoa, Chordata, Mammalia, Primates, Cheirogaleidae. The record is from Ensembl.